GAAAGAUUUCUCAAUCUGUGGAGUUCCCUCUCAUGGGAGGUUUGGUUGGUCCCAUCUUUGCUUUUCUUUCUCCUGGCAAGUAAAAGCCAUUUUUAUUUAAGCAAGCCUUUGGCUCUUAAAUUACUGUGGCAGAACAGUUUUAUAAUAGAACAUAUUAUGCUUUUAUCCUUUUUUCUAUGGUUUAAUGUGUUUUAAUUGAGUAUUUUAAUAGAGUUCUUUGUUUAAUGAUCUUUAACUUUGGCAUUAAACAGGUUUUAGCUACACUUUGAUUUUAAUUUGUUGUAAGCCACCACAGGUCCCACAGCAGGAAAAAAACAACAAACCGAAUGACCUUGUGUCCAUGGGGAAUACGUGUCAAGACUUGACGUGGAUAUGUAAAAGCAUAAAUAAUAGUUAACCCUAUUGAAAUGAAGGAUUUCUACCCCAAGAAGGACCUAGAAGAUACUUAGAGAUACAAUGUUGUGUAUGAAGUGGAUAAAUUAAACUGUGGGUAUUGAUCGCAUGAAUAAUACUGUGUUGGUUAAAUAAAAUAACAGUGAAUUAAUAAACAAAUACACGUUGCAUGAGGGCAUAUAAAAAUGUGUUCAUAUCUACCAAGGUGUUCCCACCCUAGUAAUUUACUCUAAAUCAGAGGUGUCAAACUUAUGGCCCUCCAGAUGUUUCAGACUCCAACUCCCAGAAGCCAAUGGCCAGGAAUUCUGGGAGCUGAUGGCCACAAGUUUGACACCCUUGCUCUAGAACAGUGUUUCUCAAACUCUGCCCCUCCAGGUGUUUUGGGCUUCAACUCCCAGAAAUCCUAGCCAUCUUACCAGCUAUUAGGAAUUCUGGGAGCUGAAGUCCAAAACAUCUGGCAGACCAACUACUUUUUGCUGACUCAUGUUUACAGACUAUCUGCAUUAAGAAGAUGCUAAAUCAUUAUUCUCCUAUAUCUUCCUUCUGUUUCUUCUGGGAAUUCACAAAACCUCACUUUUGUGGGGAAAAGAACAGAAUGACGGUGCAAUGCUGGGAGGGACGGAUUGCCUUAGUGCUCCUCUCCCAUCUUUUUGAGAAGGAAUAGCUUUGACAUGUGCAGUGACAUUUCAGGCGGAUGAGUCUUAUCAAGCCUCUUCAAUUUAGCAUAUCUUCACUGCCACAUUUCUACUCAGUGUCAUUUUAUCAGCAUGUUUAUUUUUUAAGGAUGGAAUGCAAUUUUGCUCUUCCAUUUACAGAAUGGCUUUUGAUCCAGCGGAUGCCUCUCCUAAUAGGAGGCGGCAGGGGGAGAUUUUUUUGCCGAUUCUGAUUUCCAGCUGCAGGGCCCCAAAACUGUUCCAGAGAGUUGGAAGUGCCCACAACAGCAUGAGAAGCAUCACAGGAAGUUGCAAGGGAAGGGGGAAUUGGCCCAAAAAAGAAAAUCCCUUUCCCUUUCCUCUUUUCACCCACUCAGCCAAAAUGGAACCUCAGUUCAAAUUAAUUUGAGCUAUUUGUGCAUAUACUUUUUUUAAAAGAUGUUUGUCAACCUGUGGAAACCUCAUGGAUUUCAUCGUGUUUUUUAAGGCAAGGACUACUCAGAAGUAGUUUGCCCUUGUCUACAUCUGAAAUAUAAGCUCUUUUACCUGGUAUUUCUCUGAACUCGCCCAUCCAAGGACUAACUUGGGCUGGCCCCCCUCCCCUUAGCUAUAGAAAAAGGAAUCCUUGUUGUUUAGUGGCAAAAAGGCACACCGUCCAGAGUUUCACAGUUGAAAACUAGAACAUGUGUAGCUGAGCCAAAUGAAGUCAAAAGGGUGUGGCCAGACAAUAAAAAGGCAAACUUUAUUAAUGAGGAACAAGAAACAAGACUCCACCUUUUUUCUUCUCUCCAUCCUUCAAGUAGAAUGAAUCAUAGAAUCAUAGAAUAGUAACGUUGGAAGAAACCUCAUGGGCCAUCCAGUCCAACCCCAUUCUGCCAAGAAGCAGGAAAUCGCAUUCAAAGCACCCCCGACAGAUGGCCAUCCAGCCUCUGCUCAAAGGCCUCCAAAGAAGGAGCCUCCACCACAGGCCGGGGGAGAGUUUCUGUUGUGACUGCGCCUUCGGGGAUUAUGGAUGAUGGUGGUGGGAUUAGAAGAGGAAGGAAAAACCCUCGCGAGGAGGGCUCAUUGGAGGAAUUGCGCAGGAAAUGGAUUAAAGAGUUCAAUGGGGAAUCUUCUGAGGAAGAUUCAGAUGGGGAGUUUGAGGAAGAAAUGGAAGCUGGUGAACAGGUGGUGGCUGGGGAAGUGGGCACUGAAUGGGCACAGCCACCGGAGAUGUCUGGGGAAUUGGGGCCUAUGGAUACUACUGAACCUGGGGUAUCUUCAGGAGCAGAUCCCACUUGGGUCGCUUGGAGAAGGGAGGAUGGUUCUUUAAGUGUGCAUGGGGGUGAGUAUGGGCAGGAUGAUUGGAACUCCGACGAGCAAUUAGGCACGCCUGAUCCACGAGCUCUAGCUGUGUGGAGUUCUGAUUCUGAGUAAGAUCUGGGACACCUGUUGUUUGGGUGUGAGUGUUUGGUCACCCAAGAGGAAGGGGAAUAAAUUGGGAAUGUUUGGUCACUUCACUUUGUGUGUGGCAAGGUGUUGCUGAAGCGCCAUUGGGAUUUCUGUUCAUUCAAGAAGACUGGACUGGGACUUUGCUUCUGAUCUGCUGUUACCAUCGUUGCCUUGGCUCUUUGUGCCAUUUCGUGGACCUGGUUUUGAUGACUGCACCCUUUUGGACCCUGGACUGUAACACGACCUUGCUUCUGUCUUCGCCCUUUGAUGGAUGACUACUCACGGCUCUUGACCACUGGCUUGCCCUCCUGACCCUGCUGCUGUCUCCUGCCCUGACCCUGGAUCACCCUGACGACGCCUCUUCGCCUUUCUUUUGGAGCUCCUGGCAUUAUCUGCAUUGUAGAAGCAGUUUGCUGCAGAUCUAGUUUAUUUGUUCUCAGACCAGUUUGGUGAUUCUUUUGAGAACUGUCUCUUUAAUUCCACAGAGCCGACUGGCUGCAACAGUAAAGGCUUGGACCCAAAGUGCCUUUUGCACCGGCUCUAAGUUUGUUUUUCCUUGGCUUUAUUUUCCUGUUCUGGAUUUUAGCUACUAAUUGUAGCUCUUGGAAGGUUUUUGGAAGGUUCCAAGUCCUAGUUUGUUUUGUCUAUUUUUAUAAGCCAACUCAAUUGUUUUUGAAGCUGAAUUGAAGCAUCUUUUUAGUUUUAUCUAAAUACUUGCGUGGAUAAUCCAGUUGGCUUGCUAAAACAUACUUUUGAUAUAUAUUUGUUUGGACUGCUUUUUAAACACUGAUAGUUAAGUGUUUAAAGCUAUCUUCUGUGUUUAUGUUUACUUUUUGGCCUAUCUCCUGAAUAAACUCUGUUUUGUUUGUUAA
Anolis carolinensis (green anole) is the source of this 3349-nucleotide long non-coding RNA. RefSeq lists it as uncharacterized. The record is from RefSeq and is a predicted model, not a curated record. The transcript has 2 exons. NCBI's taxonomy places the organism in Eukaryota, Metazoa, Chordata, Lepidosauria, Squamata, Anolidae.